RNAcentral lists this long non-coding RNA (1390 nucleotides) under Papio anubis (olive baboon). RNAcentral's name for it is "lncRNA (ENSPANG00000046204.1)". The record is from RNAcentral. Lineage: Eukaryota; Metazoa; Chordata; Mammalia; Primates; Cercopithecidae.
GGGUCAUAUGGUACAUCUAGUUCUAGAUCCUUGAGGAAUCGCCAUAGCACUGUCUUCCAUAAUGGUUGAACUAGUUUACAAUCCCACAAACAGUGUAUGUUCUAUUUCUCCACAUCCUCUCCAGCACCUGUUGUUUCCUGACUUUUUAAUGAUCGCCAUUCUAACUGGUGUGAGAUGGUAUCUCAUUGUGGUUUUGUUAGACUAUAUAAGGAACGCAUGAUACAAAAAAGAAUAUGAUCAUGUCCUUUGCAGCAACAUGAAUGGAGCUGGAGGCCAUUAUCCUAAGUGGACUAAUACAGGAAUAGGAAACCAAAAUACUGGAUGUUCUCACUUGUAAGUGAGAGCGAAACACCAAGUUCAUAUGGACACUAAGAAGAGAACAAUAAGCACCGGAACCUACUUGAGGGUGGAGGGUGGGAGGAGAGUGGGGAUUGAAAUCUACCUAUCAGAUACUAUGCUUGUUACCUGGUUGAUUAAGUAAUCUGUACACCAAACUCCCACAACAGUCAAUUUACCUACAUAACAAACCUGCCUGUGUACCCCUGAAGUGAAAAUAAAAGUUAAAAAGAUAAAAAUAAAAAAAAAACCCAAACCCCAUUUCCUCUUUUUAGGAGGAAUCUGGUCAUAUUCGAUUAGGGAUCAUCCUAAUGAUCUCAUUUUGUUUUGAUUAUCUCUGUAAAGAUGCUAUUUCCAAAUAAGGUCAUAUUCUGAGAUAUGAGUGGGGGUAGGACUUCACUAUAUUUUUUGGGGGAAACAGUUCUAUUCAUAAUAUACCUACCCAAUUGAAAACAGGGAGAUGAUUGUGAGCAUAGUGCUGAUAGACAAGGUAAAGAACACUAUAAACAUUUUCCUAAAAGUGUUAGUCCAGAAUUAGGUGACACUAAUUAAUAAGCAAAGUGCACUCAUAUUUAGAACCAGGCUCAUAACCAGUGUGACCUCACUCAUUAGUAAGCCGCAAGAAUAAUAAAGGCUUUGAGUUUUGGUCUGCAAUUAUCUGGGAGCGUGUUGCAGGGAAGGAGUUGCUAUGUGUGCAUUAAUGUUCACCUGGGGCUAAUACCAAUCUGUUGGUGGUGACUACCUGGAGUACUGUCUUGUGGAGAUCUGUGACUCCUCCCAGGCCCCAUGGAUAUAAUAUUGAUUUGAAUUAAUUUGAAUUUGAAUUAAUCUAUAACAGCUCAGAGGAAUGAGAGAUGGCCUGGUGCUAGAAUGGACGUAGUUCCUUGUCUCAAUAAUUCGAGUCAUCGAUUUUUUGUCUUGGCCUCAGGAAGGAAACUGGCAGAGAAAAUUCAAUUUAUUAAACAAUUGUAUGCAACAAACUCUGAUAGGCAUUGUUAACAUGAAGGCUCUGCUCUUGGCUUUUCUAUUUUCAUUCUUUUGCUUGGAUAACUGA